Molecule: ribosomal RNA, 492 nt
Filed under: uncultured bacterium
Lineage: Bacteria
Description: partial 16S ribosomal RNA
Rfam family: Bacterial small subunit ribosomal RNA
Source: RNAcentral
AGUGAACGCUGGCGGUAGGCCUAACACAUGCAAGUCGAACGGCAGCACAGUAAGAGCUUGCUCUUACGGGUGGCGAGUGGCGGACGGGUGAGGAAUACAUCGGAAUCUACUUUUUCGUGGGGGAUAACGUAGGGAAACUUACGCUAAUACCGCAUACGACCUACGGGUGAAAGCAGGGGAUCUUCGGACCUUGCGCGAUUGAAUGAGCCGAUGUCGGCUUAGCUAGUUGGCGGGGUAAAGGCCCACCAAGGCGACGAUCCGUAGCUGGUCUGAGAGGAUGAUCAGCCACACUGGAACGGAGACACUGGCCAGACUCCUACGGGAGGCAGCGGUGGGGAAUAUUGGACAAUGGGCGCAAGCCUGAUCCAGCCAUACCGCGUGGGUGAAGAAGGCCUUCGGGUUGUAAAGCCCUUUUGUUGGGAAAGAAAAGCAGCAGGUUAAUACCCCGCUGUUCUGACGGUACCCAAAGAAUAAGCACCGGCUAAGUUCGUG